AUAAUAUUGUUGAAAAGUUGUAUUUUGUGAAAAUGUGGCAGAAACAAACUGUAACACAGUACAACUCUAUUUGUAGCUAACAUUUCAUCUUUGAUAGCCACUUAAGAACCCAUCAUGGAAAAUCUAUAUAUUGGCAGCUGUGAAUGGUGGUUGCUGUUGUUGUUGUUGUUGUUGUUGUUGUGUGGGCGGAAGCUGAGAUGAGAUAUCGGGCAUGAUUCAUCCCUGCCCCGUCUUCUCCUCUCAGACAGAAAAUAAUGGGAUCCGACCACACGUUGAGGGAAUUUGACGCCCAAUCUUUCGGGCACCAAACACUGUCCUUUCUCUCUCUGCUCCAACAAACAAAUCAAUAAAUGCACUUCACUCAUUGUUAUAAAUGCAUUUUAGCCAUGAGGAAACACGCAAAAGCAUCCGGUGGAAUCGGACUACAUGGUGCUCAAAUGUAUGAGGCGGAAUAGUCUUUUCCUGUCAUCUCUCGACUCAGCGCCCCCCCCUCAUCUGCCUCUUCGGGAUGCGCCGCUGCCGCUGAGGAGAGCUUAAGAAACGCGGCAGCGUUUUGGGAGAAGAACACAACAUCCACACACUGAUCAUUGCCCGUAGAAACCUCCAAUAAGUGAGCCAAAGUAGAAACAUGUUCCCAGAGCCUCCCUCAAAGUGUCGGCGUCUCUGCCCACGCCGAUGACUCGUCCUUCCUUCUGAGACAGCGAAGAUUUUCCACAUGCUGAUGGUUUGAAGGACUGAGACUGGAGGAAACACGGCUGUAUGAGGGGAUCUCGACUUCCCCGCCUACUGCCUCGCAGAGAUAGUAGCUGUGCAUAAUUAUGUAGCAUCAUCCAACGCGGCGCUGAAGCGAUGUGAAGUGGCCUCCUCACUCCGUCCGAAGCCGUAGCUGAAUCCAAUUAAGUCGCACAAAGGGGACGGCAGACAGCAGAACUACCGCUUCCCAACAACUGGAUUGUAAUUUUCCCGUCACCGCGGUGGAAUCGUAGCAGUAAUGUAGCCACAGAGCUACAAUUACACCCGACGGAGAGCACAAACGGGCAAAAGACGGCGACGGGAGGGCAAGGAGCGUAGAGAGAGAUUCGGCGCUGCAGUCUGUGAAAGACCUGAUUGUUGGGGCCCCCACAAGCACUCCGGUCUCACUCGGAAAGGACAAAUGAGUCGUGGGUAAUGGAGGAAUGAGCAGUGGCAGCGCUGUAAUCUCAGCAGCCGGCAGCAGCAUCCGCCAAAGCUCCGGGGGCAGAUAAGCAGGCGGGUCUUCUUCAUGGGCCGACGCAAUUUCAAUCAGUUCGGUCUCAUCAGUCACGGGUGGAAGUUGCCAGACGGGGGGGAUCAAAGCGUCCUGAGAGACCCCGGUUCUGUAGCAAGAAGGAGUUCCAAUGUUGGAAGAGGAAGAAGAGCCGGCAUGAGCUCCCUCGGCGGCGCGAGGGGUGAGCCUUUUAUUUGGUCCGUCCACUUUUAGCCCGGUCGGCAUUCCGACGGGAUUCUUCUAGGGUUUCCCCUGUGUUUUAAAAUAAAUUCACAUUUUGGGAAAUAUGCUUUUUUUUGCUUAUCUCUGUCCGUUCGAUAUAUGACGAUAUAAGUUGAUAGUGUCUUCAUCUGAUCACUAUUAAUACUGGGGUGAAGCCUCGGCUAACGAACACACAGCUGUUAUUUCCAGGGGCUUGUAUAGUAAAGGGC
Long non-coding RNA from Gasterosteus aculeatus aculeatus (three-spined stickleback), 1677 nucleotides. NCBI's taxonomy places the organism in Eukaryota, Metazoa, Chordata, Actinopteri, Perciformes, Gasterosteidae. The record is from Ensembl.